GACGAACGCUGGCGGCGUGCUUAACACAUGCAAGUCGAACGGAAAGGCCCUGCUUUUGUGGGGUGCUCGAGUGGCGAACGGGUGAGUAACACGUGAGUAACCUGCCCUUGACUUUGGGAUAACUUCAGGAAACUGGGGCUAAUACCGGAUAGGAGCUCCUGCUGCAUGGUGGGGGUUGGAAAGUUUCGGCGGUUGGGGAUGGACUCGCGGCUUAUCAGCUUGUUGGUGGGGUAGUGGCUUACCAAGGCUUUGACGGGUAGCCGGCCUGAGAGGGUGACCGGCCACAUUGGGACUGAGAUACGGCCCAGACUCCUACGGGAGGCAGCAGUGGGGAAUAUUGCACAAUGGGCGGAAGCCUGAUGCAGCAACGCCGCGUGCGGGAGGACGGCCUUCGGGUUGUAAACCGCUUUCGCCUGUGACGAAGCGUGAGUGACGGGAAUGGGGAAAGAAGCACCGGCUAACUACGU
This 467-nucleotide ribosomal RNA is filed under the name uncultured bacterium. Its description in RNAcentral is "partial 16S ribosomal RNA". It matches the Rfam family "Bacterial small subunit ribosomal RNA", at positions 28 to 506 of the family's 1533-position model. The record is from RNAcentral.